RNAcentral lists this ribosomal RNA (512 nucleotides) under uncultured Burkholderiales bacterium. RNAcentral describes it as "bacterial SSU rRNA". It matches the Rfam family "Bacterial small subunit ribosomal RNA", at positions 413 to 918 of the family's 1533-position model. Lineage: Bacteria; Pseudomonadati; Pseudomonadota; Betaproteobacteria; Burkholderiales. The record is from RNAcentral.
GGCCUUCGGGUUGUAAACCUCUUUUGUCGGGAAGAUAAAGACUGGGCUAAUACCUGAGGCCCAUGACGGUACCGGAACAAUAAGCACCGGCUAACUACGUGCCAUCAGCCUCGGUAAUACGUAUGGUGCUAGCGUUAAUCGGAAUUACUGGGCGUAAAGCGUGCGCAAGCGGUUAUGUAAGACAGAUGUGAAAUCCCCGGGCUCAACCUGGGAACUGCCUUUGUGACUGCUGGGCUUGAGUACGGAAGAGGGGGAUGGAAUUCCACGUGUAGCAAUGAAAUGCGUAAAUAUGCGGAGGAACACCGAUGGCGAAGGCAAUCCCCUGGACCUGUACUGACGCUCAUGCACGAAAGCGUGGGUAGCAAACAGGAUUAAAUACCCUGGUAGUCCACGCCCUAAACGAUGUCAACUGGUUGUUGGGAAGGUAUUAUCUCUUUAACCUAGCUAACACGUGAAGUUGACCGCCUGUGGAGUGCAUUCGCAGAGUUUAAAACUCUAAGGAAUUUUCGGGG